UUUCCUAGGGUUCCUUUACUGCCUUUCUACCUCAGAACACCAAACCCUAGCCGCCAUAUCCGUUUUUGAGCUAGAUCUUGCCUUGAAGAGUGCACUAAAGCUUGGAGGAGGAAGAAAGACCUUGGAGGUGCAAGAAGGGACUGUAGAUCUGGGAUUGAGGAGUCAUUUCAGACCAAUUGGAGGUAAUAAGUUGUUGCUUGGACUCCCUUUGCAUCUAGAUCUAUUCUUAUGUGUGAGUUUUGGUCAUUAUUGGUAUGAUAUGUAACCAAUUCGAGUUGGAGGUUCAGAUCUGAGGUUGCUACCUCAGAUCCAUGUUGGUUUUGGUCUUGAAUCCCCUAAAGUAUCAGCCCUUGGUAUGUUGAAGAGGCAUGUUUGCCAUAAACCCUAGUUUAGUGUGUUUUGAGCAUAGAUCUCUCAAUCUACACGUAAAGUUUGCCACUUUACGUGGGGAAUAGGCCCUAGAAGUAUAGAUCUAUGAGUUGGAAGCUCUGUUUGGCUCGAAAAGCCACUGCAUGGAUUGAGGACUGGAUAGACUCGGCGAGUCCUUCGAGUGGACUCGGCGAGUAGCUUGAAGAUGAGGAGGAACUCGACGAGUAGGAUGAACAGCUCGUCGAGUCGGAUGAAGUUAGGCAUGGACUCGGCGAGUUGGAUGAACAACUCGACGAGUUGGUUGAAGAUUGUCUAGGACUCGGCGAGUCUGUUCUUGGACUCGGCGAGUCAGAUCGCGAAACCCUAAACCCUUUGAGUUGAGACUCGAAUCAGUGAGUCGGGUGGUGACUCAGCGAGUUGGACAGGUCAGGACUUGGAACUAGUUGGACUCGGCGAGUCAUGGACUGACUCGGCGAGUCGGGUCGCGAAUAAGAAAGACCCUGAGCUUAUGAACUCGGCGAGUCUUUAGGAAGACUCGGCGAGUAAGGUUGACCUGGAAGGUUGACUUUAACCAGAGUUGACUUAGUUGACUGUCAGAUUAAGUGUUAUAUGUAUAUUGAUAGCUCGGAGAGCUAGAGGAGCAGCGGUUCAGGGGAUUGUCGAGUAGCAGCCAGAGGUUUAUCAGCAGGGCUCAGCAGUUCAGGUGAGUUUCCUUCCAGUAGGAACGGGUCUAAGGCCACAAUGCCGGCCCGUUUAGCUAGCAGUAGUUUUCGGAUGUUGAUCUGAUACAGUAGUUAGUAUGUUUGAUGCCUUCGUGGCUCAGACAGGAUUUAUGUGUUAUGUGUUCCGGGCUACGGCCCGAAGUAGUAUGCAGUAUACGUGUGUUCAUGCUAGUUGAUAUGUUUAUGUUAUGUUCUGUUCAGUUAGCCCGGACUUCGGUCCGAUGCAGGGGACAAGGUCCCAGUUAGUCCGGACUUCGGUCCGAUGCAGGGGGCAAGGCCCCAGUUAGCCCGGACUUCGGUCCGAUGCAGGGGACAAGGUCCCAGUUAGUCCGGACUUCGGUCCGAUGCAGGGGGCAAGGCCCCAGUUAGCCCGGACUUCGGUCCGAUGCAGGGGACAAGGUCCCAGUUAGUCCGGACUUCGGUCCGAUGCAGGGGGCAAGGCCCCAGUUAGCCCGGACUUCGGUCCGAUGCAGGGGACAAGGUCCCAGUUAGUCCGGACUUCGGUCCGAUGCAGGGGGCAAGGCCCCAGUUAGUCCGGACUUCGGUCCGAUGCAGUGGGCAAGGCCCAAUAUGUGCUUUAUAUGUUUUUGUGUGGUAUGUGGUAGAUUGGGGGAGCUCACUAAGCUUCGUGCUUACGGUUUUCAGUUUUGGUUUCAGGUACUCGGUUUUCAAAAGAGGAGCUCGGGAAGAUUGCAGAGCACACACCAUAGUCAGUUAGCCUGGGAAUGUUUGACUCUGAUAAUGAUAUUAUGUUUUGAAUUUAAUACUCAAAAGUUAUGUUUGACUUAUGAUACGUUGUUUAUAAAUCUAUUUUUAGUAAUGUUUUAAAAGAAAUUUUUAGUCGUGAUUUUUGGGUCGUUACAAGUUGGUAUCAGAGCCUUGGUUUGAGGGAUUCGGGCGCACUCCUGAGUGUGUCUGAACUCAAACUAAGGAAGUGGUAUAUAGUUUUCAAAAGAAAAAUCGUAGUUACAAAAGAAUUUUGAGAAAAGAAAACAAUUUUAGAAAAAGCAAAAAGAGUUUUGAAAAGAGAAAAGGGUGUGGUGCAUGCAAUCAGCCGAGCUCAAGUAAGUACUCCCAAUUUACCCAUACAAGUUAUAUUAUGAUUAUCAGUAUCGGUUUCAGUUUCAGUUUCAGUUCCAGCUUCAGUAGAACAGCAUGCUAGAAUAGGACUAAGGAUCUAGGAUGAUGCCUUAUGUGCCUGCUUUAUGUGUUCAGCUUUAUGAGAAUUGCAUGUUAGUAUUGAGUAGACAGCAGUAGGAUAGCCUGUUUAGGUUAUGCCUGGUAGCACGAGCUUAGCAUUGUAUGCUAGUGUAGUUUCUCGUUAUGAGAAUAGUUUUGCCUGAGUAUGUCUCCUUUAUCCGAUUGCUGCUUGCUUUGUGCUUUGUGGGACUCUGAGUGAUGAGAGUUAGCCAUUAGGUGAAUACGUUUCAUCACAUGUGAUCAGGGUUGAAUAAUCUCAGAGUGCUGGAUUUGGCCCUAUUGCGCAGCUCUCGUUUGAGUCCAACCGUUGUAGGGACGAGUCUUUUACUUGAAGGAUUAUCUGAGCCUCGUCACAUGUGAUGGUAUUCAGGUGGUGACUAAUUGGCAUUACUAGGAGGCCUUCAGCAGCUGAGGACUGUGUGGGUAGAGUCAGAGGUUCCCUAGGGCAAGCCUAGGAUGAGAGUAGCAGAGAUCAGUAGAAGAGUAAAGGGGACUGGGUGGAGUUGAGGUAACUCUUGAGGAAAGUAUGGAUAGAUGUGGAAGGUAGUAGGGGCCCAUACUACUGAAAGCAGAGGAUCCGUACUCGAUUCAAGAGGGGCCAAGACGAAACCAGGAAUGGGGUAGUGAGUGAGAAAUUCCUCAGCAGUAGUAUGUAAAUUGAUCAGGAUUUUGUUAUAUUUUCAGCAUGGUGACGUUGCGCGAGAUACCAGUUAGCAGUUCAGGUGUCGAGGAGGGGUCUGGCUCGGGCUUCAGAGCCGGGCAGCUUGAUGAUCAGAUGAGGGAUUUCAUUUCCGCAGAGAUUACGCGCAACAUCAUUGAUCAGACUCCAGUGAUUUUCGGUUCGGUUAGAGAGGCCAUUGUGGAGCUCAUGGACAGUCAUCUUGAGGCCUUUAAGGCCGGGUUAGUUUCAGGACAGAUUGGGGCUCGUCUAGGUCCCGAAUCUUAUGGAGUUCAGGGAUCCAUCAGGGAGGGAGAUCCUAUUUCUAGUUCCUGCCAUCAGGGGGCAGGGGUGAGUGGGGAAUUCUGUCUCCAAGAGAGACCAUUGCAUGAUUGGAUAGUUGAGGAAGUUUCGCGAGCCAUUUGCGAGGAGCUGCCCGACAUGGUUGUGAGGAUCACUGAUAGAUUGAUAGCGAGGCUUCAGGAUCAGACAUCUGUUGUUCAGUUAGCAGGCGUUGCCGUUGGGGUAACGCAGGAGCGAGAGUCGGGCAGGGAGUCAGAAGGGAAAAGGAAAAUUGAUGAGACUCAGGUAGCCACAGGUUCGGGUAAGAGGCCCAAGGGUCCAGAUUUGAGGACGAGGAACUAUCAGAGCCGCAGUCGAUGCGGGAAGUGCGGAAGGACGCACAUGGGUGUGUGUAGGCGUAGAAGUGGUGGCGAUGCUGGGUGUUUCAAGUGCGGCCAGAUUGGUCAUUUUAGCAGAGACUGUGUUGUUACCAUCGCCCAGGGGCUUGAUCCGUUAUGUUUCCAUUGCAGUCAGAGGGGCCACAAGAAGGCCCACUGUCCGAGUUUGUAUCCAGCAGGGCAGGUGCCAGCUCCUGCCCUUGGGACUUCGAGUACCGCCAGCAGUUGUCGAGGCCGGGCAAGGGUGCCUACGGCUCAGAGCCGAGUUUUCCGGUAGAUUUCAGCAGGGAUUCGAGCAGCACUGAGUAAUGAAGGUACGUAACUUUUGUUUUUCUGUCAGCUUAUGUCAUGAUUAUAUUGUUAUGGUUCUGCAUCAAAUUGUGGUAUAAGUGUUGUGUUAUAGUGUGGCUUGCUUGUGAUUAUGUUAUAUGCCAUUUGCAUACCUCGGAUAAUUGGUUGGUAGUUAGGGGAUGUGCUCUUAUGGAGAAGGUUUCGGAGGAUGCAGUAACUGUAGCAUGGUUGAGAGAGAUUUGGUUCGUUUCACUAGUUCGGAGUGGUUAGUGAUUGGGAUGGAUUGGUUAAAUUCCUACCUGGCAGGCUUGGGUUCCCUAGUAGAUGUUCCGGAAUGGUAGUGAAGAUCAGGAUCUCUUUUGAGUGUGAAGCAGCAAGGGGUAAGCAGGAUCGAAGUGGGGGAGAACCCUCCGAGUAUUCAUGGAUAAGAGACACGUAGACCCAGAAUGAGUGCGCAGCCUCCGAGAAGAAAUGGUAGUAGCACAGUGAUGGAUGGAUUGAGAAGUUCAGAAUUGGGAGUUCGAGAACUUUUCCCAGCAGUUAGUUCAUGUAAUCGAGAUGGUUAGAAGCUGGUUGGGAAUCCAGGAUUGGAGGACCACCUGUCGGACGCAUGAGAGUCGGAAUGAAGAUCCUGAGAACGGGUAACAAGAGAUGUUUUCGUAUUAGUAGCCAGUGUCUGAGGCAGCAUGCAGGUUGCGUAGAUUCAGGAGUUGGGAGGUUGGAAACUUCCCAACAAUAGCUUCUUGUAUCCGGAUUAGUAGACGGUUGGUUUGGGAACCAAGCCGAAGGAUUCCUCGACGAAGCGCUAAGUAUAUCAAGGAUAUAAGAUGUCGAGGAUGAUGCAGAAUUCAAAGACUGAGGACUGGUUUGAGAAAUCGGGAUGAGGAAUCACUAGCGGAACUAGGGAUAGUCAGGAUGUCCUCGGGAUAGAGUAGUAGUAGUGGUGUUGUAAGUCUGCGGGGGUAGCCGUAGCAUUCACUAGUAGCCAUAUAGUACUAGAGAGUUGUAAGUCCGCGAGCGUAGUCGCAGCCUUUAUCAGAUUGGUAGGUGGCAUGAGCGCGUGUUGGACGCGGAAAAGUAGUAGUACCCACCAGUUCUAGUGCAGCAGUGAGGAUAUGGGAAUCCACGGGUUAGAUUUCGGAUUUCCCAAAUGGUUCAGUGAUGGCUAAGUCAGCAAUUUUGGCUAUAGAACGUUGCAUCAGUUAUGAGAUCAGAGUAGUAGUGGACCGUUGGGGUUCGGGUAUGUUAAGGGCUACCGUCAGUCUGGGAGCCAUCAUGAUGUUAGUCGUGGAAUUGAUGAUGUCAGGAUGUGACGUAUGGACCCGAUCGGUUGGAUCGGAAGGUUGCUAGAGCCACAGUGACAGGAUAACUAGUGGAAACUAGUCCUAGAGGAAGAUUUCGUUCAGAAGUCGUGGAAGCGACUAAGUGAGGAGUCCCUUGACUCCACAGUUGGGUUGGAGUUCAGUGUUUCAGGCAGCUCAGUGUUUCAGCCAGUUCAGUGUUUCAGGCAGCUCAGUGUUUCAGGCAGUUCAGUGUUUCAGGCAGCUCAGUGUUUCAGUCAGUUCAGUGUUUCAGGCAGCUCAGUGUUUCAGUCAGUUCAGUGUUUCAGGCAGUUCAGUGUUUCAGUCAGUUCAGUGUUUCAGGCAGCUCAGUGUUUCAGUCAGUUCAGUGUUUCAGGCAGCUCAGUGUUUCAGUCAGUUCAGUGUUUCAGGCAGCUCAGUGUUUCAGUCAGUUCAGUGUUUCAGGCCGUUCAGCGUUUCAGUCGGUUCAGCGUUUCAGGCAGUUUAGUGUUUCAGGCAUGUUCAGUAUUGCAGGCAGUUCAGUGUUUGGAAGGUUUCAGGGUUUUGGGUCAGUAUUGUAUUUGCGUUGGAAUGCAAGUGCUGACGAUAUAGUUGGUUGAUUUGGAAAUGGCAAGUCCCUCUCAGCAGGAUCAGUUGAGCCUUUUGCCGAGUAUAAGUGAUCUGUAAGGAUAGCUAGGCAGGUAGCUUUUCAUUCAGGAGGGAAGGCUCGAGUUAGUAGGAGAUGAGUAAUCAGGUGGGAUAAAAGCAAGCUGGUUCCAGCAGCAUCGUUUCAGUAUGAGCGGCAGAAUGGAUAGAACAGUUAUAGAUAGUCGAAGUAUCUUCAGGAGUCGCUGGAAGAGACUAGGAGUUUGCGAUGGAGUGUAGUGACCGGUGGGAGUCCGGUAACUCAGAUAUCGGGAGAUUGGUUAGACCAGAGUAGUCUCAGUGCAUCCGGUAGGCGGAUGGGAGGCAGCAGGAUUUUCAGUCGGAGGAAGUAACGUUGAGGAAAUUAUGGAAAAGAGAAGGAUUCAGUAUGUUCCAACGGUAAUGAUCGGCAUGGUGAGUGGCUGGAGUGUCGGACAAAAGGGUGUUAGAUUUUCCAGACAGAGAAUUGGAGGCAGUUCGCAGGCAGUUGAUCAUAGCAAACUUCGAGGACGAAGUUUAGUUUAAGUGGGGGAGAGUUGUAACACCCCAAAGUUUGGAAAGCCAAGAAAAGAAAGAAAACCUCAAGUUUAGGGGAGACUCGGCGAGUCCAUGGAGGGACUCGGCGAGUCCGAGCGGGAUCCGGGUUGUGGUGAAAGCGACCGACUCGGCGAGUCGGCCAAGGAGACUCGACGAGUUGGGUCUGAUCGAGGAAAACCCUAAAUCCGGGACUUGGAGCCUAUUUAAGCGUCUCAUUCUCUUUCCUAGGGUUCCUUUACUGCCUUUCUACCUCAGAACACCAAACCCUAGCCGCCAUAUCCGUUUUUGAGCUAGAUCUUGCCUUGAAGAGUGCACUAAAGCUUGGAGGAGGAAGGAAGACCUUGGAGGUGCAAGAAGGGACUAUAGAUCUAGGAUUGAGGAGUCAUUUCAGACAAAUUGGAGGUAAUAAGCUGUUGCUUGGACUCCCUUUGCAUCUAGAUCUAUUCUUAUGUGUGAGUUUUGGUCAUUAUUGGUAUGAUAUGUAACCAAUUCGAGUUGGAGGUUCAGAUCUGAGGUUGCUACCUCAGAUCCAUGUUGGUUUUGGUCUUGAAUCCCCUAAAGUAUCAGCCCUUGGUAUGUUGAAGAAGCAUGUUUGCCAUAAACCCUAGUUUAGUGUGUUUUGAGCAUAGAUCUCUCAAUCUACACGUAAAGUUUGCCACUUUACGUGGGGAAUAGGCCCUAGAAGUAUGGAUCUAUGAGUUGGAAGUUCUGUUUGGCUCGAAAAGCCACUGCAUGGAUUGAGGACUGGAUAGACUCGGCGAGUCCUUCGAGUGGACUCGGCGAGUAGCUUGAAGAUGAGGAGGAACUCGACGAGUAGGAUGAACAGCUCGUCGAGUCGGUUGAAGUUAGGCAUGGACUCGGCGAGUUGGAUGAACAACUCGACGAGUUGGUUGAAGAUUGUCUAGGACUCGGCGAGUCUGUUCUUGGACUCGGCGAGUCAGAUCGCGAAACCCUAAACCCUUUGAGUUGAGACUCGAAUCAGUGAGUCGGGUGGUGACUCAGCGAGUUGGACAGGACAGGACUUGGAACUAGUUGGACUCGGCGAGUCAUGGACUGACUCGGCGAGUCGGGUCGCGAAUAAGAAAGACCCUGAGCUUAUGAACUCGGCGAGUCUUUAGGAAGACUCGGCGAGUAGGGUUGACCUGGAAGGUUGACUUUGACCAGAGUUGACUUAGUUGACUGUCAGACUAAGUGUUAUAUGUAUAUUGAUAGCUCGGAGAGCUAGAGGAGCAGCGGUUCAGGGGAUUGUCGAGUAGCAGCCAGAGGUUUAUCAGCAGGGCUCAGCAGUUCAGGUGAGUUUCCUUCCAGUAGGAACGGGUCUAAGGCCACAAUGCCGGCCCGUUUAGCUAGCAGUAGUUUUCGGAUUUUGAUCUGAUGCAGUAGUUAGUAUGUUUGAUGCCUUCGUGGCUCAGACAGUAUUUAUGUGUUAUGUGUUCCGGGCUACGGCCCGAUGUAGUAUGCAGUAUACGUGUGUUCAUGCUAGUUGAUAUGUUU
RNAcentral lists this long non-coding RNA (7876 nucleotides) under Lactuca sativa (garden lettuce). Its description in RNAcentral is "long non-coding RNA (LSAT_LNC006473)". The record is from RNAcentral. Lineage: Eukaryota; Viridiplantae; Streptophyta; Magnoliopsida; Asterales; Asteraceae.